UAAUACAUGCACGAAAGCUCUGACUUUACGGACGAGCGCAUUUAUUAGAACAAAACCAAUCGAAUGCAUUAGUGUGUUUGUGGUUUGGUGAAUCUGAAUAACUGAGCCGAUCGCACGGUCAUAGCACCGGCGACGCAUCUUCCAAGUGUCUGCCUUAUCAACUUUCGAUGGUAGUUUAUGUGCCUACCAUGGUUGUAACGGGUAACGGAGAAUAAGGGUUCGACUCCGGAGAGGGAGCCUGAGAAACGGCUACCACAUCCAAGGAAGGCAGCAGGCGCGCAAAUUACCCACUCUCGGCACGAGGAGGUAGUGACGAAAAAUAACGAGACAGUUCUCUAAGAGGCCUGUCAUCGGAAUGAAAACAAUCUAAACCUUUUAAUGAGGACCUAUGAGAGGGCAAGUCUGGUGCCAGCAGCCGCGGUAAUUCCAGCUCUCAAGGUGUAUAUCGCCAUUGCUGCGGUUAUAAAGCUCGUAGUUGGAUCUUCGCCUUCGGCUUCGGUCCUUUCAAUGAAAGCGCACUGAACGCCAAGGCUAAAAUGCCGGUUUUGCGCGAUGCUCUUGACUGAGUGUCGUGUGUGGCUGGCGAGUUUACUUUGAAAAAAUUAGAGUGCUCAAUACAGGCUUAACGCUUGAAUACUGGUGCAUGGAAUAAUAAAAUAGGAUUUCGGUCCAUUUUGUUGGUUUUGGGAACUGAAAUAAUGGUUAAGAGGGACAGACGGGGGCAUUCGUAUCGUUGCGUGAGAGGUGAAAUUCUUGGACCGCAGCGAGACGAACAACUGCGAAAGCAUUUGCCAAGAAUGUC
RNAcentral lists this ribosomal RNA (802 nucleotides) under Trophomera conchicola. Its description in RNAcentral is "bacterial SSU rRNA". It matches the Rfam family "Eukaryotic small subunit ribosomal RNA", at positions 165 to 968 of the family's 1831-position model. Lineage: Eukaryota; Metazoa; Nematoda; Chromadorea; Plectida; Benthimermithidae. The record is from RNAcentral.